CUCAUUUUUCUACUGCUCGUGGAUUUACGCGCACGUUGGAACCGAAGAGAGCUCUGUUGUUGCAAUGUUCAGCCCACAAGAGCUUACUGGUGAAGGAAUGGGACAAGACCCAUCUUUAUGCAAAGCCAGCGUUACAGUAAUGUUCCAGGUAUUCCUGAUGACAGUCUGCCUCUAUCUUACAGAGCAGCUUGUUGCUAUAUACCAUUGAAAAGCCUUCAGAGCUGAGAGGUACUACUAACCAAUAACCUGCUUGGCUCAAAGGGCCAGCACCUUCUCUCUAAAGCCCAAGAGGAGUUUGAGGAAAACUAGGUGUCUGUGUUCACUCCAGGCUGAAGUUACAGGUCUGAGCAAAUAAGGUGUAUAAAAAAUGGAAUCUGUCUUGGAGGACAUCAGAAGGUGAAUUUUCCAAGUUCUUGGACAACCUAGCUGUUGAAAAGCUUUCUGGGUUUGGGGGGUAUUUCAGAUGUACCUUAAAGUGUUAGCAGACACAGAUUAAGACACUGGGAGCCAAUGAAACAGCAGUUGAGGGUUUGCUGUGUAUCACAUUUCUGUAUUUUAUCACCCCCUUCCUGCAACAUUAUUUAUCUGGAAUCUACCUGCCCUUUUGUUUUUUAGAUACAAGGGCUUGGUUUUGUUACCCAGGCUGGUUUCAAGGCCAUAGCUUUAAGAGAUCCUCUCACCACAGAUUUCCAAAGUGCUGGGAUUGCAGGUGUGAUUCAUGGCACCCAGACUUUGCUGCCUUUCUUACAUGAUCCAGGCCCAGAACCCAAACUCAGGCACUGUAUAGAUGACCACUUUCGUAAACUACUGACCUAGCUUGUUGCCAAUUGUUGAUUGAACUUCCCAUAACUCCACUUCGUGUCUGUUCCUCUGUAUACAGCCACCUUCUGUUCCCGUCAUGAGCCUUUAGGUCUCCAUUUGCAUAUUGCAAAUACUAUGUUCCAUGUAGGUAGCUCAUUCAGGGCCUUGCUCUUCACUUCAAAAAAGGUUCCCUUGAGGACUGGCUGUCAAUUUGUGUUGCUGUGUUGGUUGUUGAUGAAAAUAAUAAAAUGAUUGAUUACAUAGUCCUGUUUA
RNAcentral lists this long non-coding RNA (1074 nucleotides) under Homo sapiens (human). Its description in RNAcentral is "small nucleolar RNA host gene 1, transcript variant 4 (SNHG1)". Lineage: Eukaryota; Metazoa; Chordata; Mammalia; Primates; Hominidae. The record is from RNAcentral.